UGCGGCCGAUUAGGUAGUUGGUUAGGUAACGGCUUACCAAGCCAUUGAUCGGUACGGGUUGUGAGAGCAAGAGCCCGGAGAUGGAACCUGAGACAAGGUUCCAGGCCCUACGGGGUGCAGCAGGCGCGAAACCUCCGCAAUGUGAGAAAUCGCGACGGGGGGAUCCCAAGUGCCAUUCUUAACGGGAUGGCUGUUCAUUAGUGUAAAGAGCUUUUGGAAUAAGGGCUGGGCAAGACCGGUGCCAGCCGCCGCGGUAACACCGGCAGCUCUAGUGGUAGCAGUUUUUAUUGGGCCUAAAGCGUCCGUAGCCGGUUUAAUAAGUCUCUGGUGAAAUCCUGUAGCUUAACUGUGGGAAUUGCUGGAGAUACUAUUAGACUUGAGACCGGGAGAGGUUAGAGGUACUCCCAGGGUAGAGGUGAAAUUCUGUAACCCUGGGAGGACCGCCUGUUGCGAAGGCGUCUAACUGGAACGGUUCUGACGGUGAGGGACGAAAGUUAGGGGCGCGAACCGGAUUAGAUACCCGGGUAGUCCUAACUGUAAACGAUGCGGACUUGGUGUUGGGGUGGCUUUGAGCUGCUCCAGUGCCGAAGGGAAGCUGUUAAGUCCGCCGCCUGGGAAGUACGGUCGCAAGACUGAAACUUAA
Molecule: ribosomal RNA, 643 nt
Filed under: uncultured archaeon
Lineage: Archaea
Description: bacterial SSU rRNA
Rfam family: Archaeal small subunit ribosomal RNA
Source: RNAcentral